RNAcentral lists this unclassified non-coding RNA (13406 nucleotides) under Mizuhopecten yessoensis (Yesso scallop). RNAcentral's name for it is "sortilin-related receptor-like, transcript variant X4". Lineage: Eukaryota; Metazoa; Mollusca; Bivalvia; Pectinida; Pectinidae. The record is from RNAcentral.
AUAACCGUUUUACGCCUAUAUUCGUAGUAAACAAAGAUGGCGACCAAAUCUGGGAUGUAUUGGUCCCAGCGAUGGAUACUUUUACUGAUAACUAAUCUGCUCGGCGUGGUGGUUGCUGAGCGAUAUGGAUCACAGUCCACCACCAUACAUACAGCCAACAGCGGCCGAUCACGCUUAUAUGAUGCCCGGACGGCCGUCGUAGAAGCUGACGUAAGCCUAGAAGUUGAACGUCUUCACCGAACUCGGAGAUCAGCCACUGUUCCGCCCCCUCUAAAUAAACACGACCCUCAAGUCACUGCGGUCCAACUGAACGACAGUCACAACCAGAUGAUCGUGCACUGGGCGGGUGUCGGAAGUGAUGUGAUUCUCGCACUCUCUAAAGAGAGCCGUCCCUUCAACGAUUCCACCGGCAGCAGCAACCUGUUUAUCUCCUACAACUAUGGCGAGAGCUUCACCAACGUGGAGUCCAAACUUAGGCUGCCGUCGGGCAAAAAACCCAUCAUUGAUCAUUACUACAACAGCAAAGUCUUCAACAAUUUUUACGUUUUCACGGACAUCGCAAAUAACUACAUAUUUACGACAAAAGACUAUGGACAAAGCUUCACACCGUACAGUGUUCCGUUCCGGCCCAAAACUAUCGCCCUUCACCAUAGCAACCCCGACAUACUCCUCGGCACCGACGAUGAUGAGGAAAAUAAGAAGGUUUACAUUUCCGUGGACUUCGGGAUGAACUGGAGACUGAUGCAGGCGGAGGUGAAAGCUUUUUUCCUGGGUGAAGCGCCAUACGACCAGGCUAACGACACUUACGUGGAGCGCAUAGAGAGCAGCGGGAAAAGCACGCUACUGAGGAGCUCGGACUAUUUUUCUCGUGAUAUCACUACGCUGAUGACCGACGUGGAAGACUUUGAGAUCAAGGGCGCUUACAUGUUUGUCACAAAGAAAGUGCACCUCCUUGGUGGUCCAGGGGAUAGCCUUCAGCUGUGGGUGUCAUACAAACGAGGGCCUUUCCACAACGCCCGGUUCUCUCACAGUGCUGCACACAAGGACUACUACGUAGCUGAUGCGUCGGAGGACAUGGUGUUCCUGUGUGUCAAUCACGGUGAUAACACCACCCACUUGUACUUGUCCGAUGUGGAAGGCAAGAAGUUCUCACUCAACCUGGAGAACAUUGUAUAUUACAAUCCUAAGGGAGCAAACAAGGACACCUGGCUGAGGUACUUCGCCGAUGAGGCAUUCGCAGACCUGGCCAAGAUUGAGGGUAUACGAGGCGUGUAUGUUGCCUCUCAAAUUAUGAAUGUCUCCACAGACCUGAGUCAGGAAUCACAGCGUACGCUCAUCACAUUCGACAAGGGUGGAGAGUGGCAGCUGGUCAAGGCUCCAGCCACUGACCGAUCUGGCAAACCAACCAACUGUACACAGAUGUUUCUUGCUAAGGACUUUCUCCAGGCCAUCAACUGCUCCCUUCAUCUAGCCCAGAAGUACAGCAGGCUGUUCCCUGGAAGUCGUGCGAUACAGAUCCUGUCACGGACCAACGCCCCGGGGAUCGUGCUGGCUACUGGAACCCUGGGAAUGAACCUGAAGCGUGACGCUGAUGUCUACCUGUCUAGUGACGCUGGGUACUCCUGGCACAUGGUGCUGGAAGGUCACAACUUCUACAGCAUUGGUGACCAUGGAGGCCUCCUGGUGGCUGUACCUCAGUUUGGAAUCACUAACCAACUCCUGUAUUCCUGGAACGAAGGCCAAACCUGGGACAAUAUCACAUUCCACACGGAGAAGAUCCGGGUGUACGGCCUCCUGACGGAACCCGGAGAGAAGACAGCUGUGUUUUCUCUGUUCGGCUCUCAUGUGGGUCAUCACCAGUGGCUGAUCAUCCAGGUCAACCUGACGUCCAUCUUCAGUGGGGAAUGUAGUUCAGAGGACUAUAAGGACUGGUCCUUCCCCGACAACCCGCCCUUUGCUGGCUGUAUCCUCGGCCGUAAAACUGUGUACCAGCGCAGAAUUGCACACGCAUUCUGUUACAACGGCCUUGACUACGAACGCAAGGUCACACAGAACAACUGCACCUGCAACCGCGAGGACUUCGAAUGUGACUUUGGAUUUAAGCUAAAUACGUCUGGUCUAAUAUUGGGGCUAGGUACUUGUGACGAGGAUAGGGAUUCCUAUAUCGACGUACACGCUAUUCCUGUACCCUGUCCUCCCGGGACCUAUUACAAGUACACCAGAGGAUAUCGCAAAGUUUCCGGGGACAUGUGUAAAGGUGGCCUGGACCACAGAUUCUCGCCUCUCCUGUACUCGUGUCCAAUCAGAGAGAUCCCCGAGUUCAUUCUGUUCUCAACCCGCUUCACCAUCCACCGGUUCAUCCUAGGAGAAAAUCGUGACGAACUCCUGGUACAACGCGACUAUUCCCAGCAACACAGCCUGUUUGCUGUUGACUUUGAUUACCGGGCCAACUGUCUGUUCUGGGCCGACGGCUCCGAGAACAUGAUUAAGAGGAUGUGUCUGAAUGGUUCGAGUGCUGUGGAGAAUAUCGUCACACGAGGCCUGGCCUCUGUUGAAUCGCUGGUUUUUGACUGGGCGGGGAACAACAUUUUCUGGAUUGAUUCACAUAACCGUACACUUGAGGUCGCCAGGAGCAAUGGUGACUUCAGACGCACCCUCCUAAACAGUACACAUCUGGACCAACCAAGAGCCUUGGCACUCGACCCUCACCACGGAUGGAUGUACUGGACGGACUGGUCGGAUAGCCAUCCACGGAUCAGUAAGGCCUGGAUGGAUGGUAAUACGAGCUCAAUCAAAAUUAUCGUCAAUGGUUCCUCCAUCGUCCACUGGCCUAACGGUAUCACCAUUGACCACCGCAUGGAGCGAAUGUACUGGACUGACGCUUUCCUCGAUCACAUAAUGUCUGCCGACUUGGAGGGUAAUAACGAACGAGUGAUUGUAUCAGGAAGCGCAGUCCCCCAUCCCUACGCCAUUGGCAUGUACAAGAACGUGCUGUACUGGACGGACUGGUCAAGGAAGUCGAUCAUGAGUGUGGACAGCACUGACAACACCUACAUCCGGGCCGUACUGACCAAUGUGUCCGACAUCAUGGACUUGAAAGUCCUAUCACACCAAACACAACAAUUGGAGACAGCGUGUAGUGGAGGAAAUGGCCAGUGCUCGCAGCUGUGUCUACCGAAACCACCGACCUCCAUAAUGAACGAAAAGAAUCGCACCUGUCGCUGUGGUAAUGCUGUUCGGCACUCAAUCAUCAAUGAUGGAAAUGAACGAUGUCUCUGUGCUGUAGGAGAGAAGGUGGACGUUCAUACUGGGGCCUGCCAGUCAGCCAAUACCUCGGGAGAUGGAUCGUGUGGAGCCCAGGAUUUUGCCUGUAGCAAUGGUAAAUGUAUUUCUUCCGCGUGGAUUUGUGACCGUGACAACGACUGCGGAGACUUCAGUGACGAGCUGGACUGCACUAUGCGCGGAUGUCCUACAGGCAGUUUCAAAUGCAAGUCGUCUAACCGUUGUAUUCCGGAGCGUUGGCAUUGUGACUUUGAUAAGGAUUGUACCGACGGCAGUGAUGAACUACACUGUAAUCACACCACAUGUGCGUCAACAAUGCACACCUGCGAUUCAGGACGCUGCAUCCCUAAAAACUGGACCUGUGACUUUGACAACGACUGUCACGACGGCGUCAAUGGGUCUGUGUCGUCGGACGAACGCAACUGUUCAUAUAAUGAUAUUUGUCUCGCUAAUGAAUUCCACUGUGAGGCCCACCAGCCUAAGUGUGUCCCUAUUGGAUUGAGAUGUGAUGGCAGAAAUGAUUGUGGUGAUCGGUCUGACGAGAAGAACUGUACAACCUGCCCUAGUGGGGAAUACCGCUGUAAAACAGGGGCCUGUAUCUUCAACAACUGGAAGUGUGAUGGCGACGCCGACUGUUCAGAUGGAAGUGACGAGACUGAGGAUAUCUGUGGAACUACACAUGUGAUGAACACCACCACCACCCCAACGCCUCCUCCAACGUCAUGCCACUUCUGGCAGUUCACCUGCCACAACAGAAAGUGUGUUUGGUGGAGUGAGCGCUGUGACCAGGUCGAUGAUUGUGGCGACAAUAGUGACGAGUUCAACUGUGGAGUGCAGACGACGCAUGCUCCGAUAGUCUGUCGACCCAAUGAGUUCAAGUGUCGAAACCAACAUUGUAUUGGCAUGAAUCUACGAUGUAACGGUCACAGCGAUUGCCUUGACGGCAGUGAUGAAGACCGCUGUUAUAUGAGCACGACAUCACGGCCGGUGGUCUGCAAUGCUGGUCAGUUCCAAUGUGACAACAAAUUGUGUAUUCCCACCUCCUGGGUGUGUGAUAACUACCCUGACUGUGACAACGGCCAGGACGAGAAAGACUGCAAUGGUACCCAGGUGUGUGGCCCUACAGAUUUCCGAUGCGAGAUGGUGGAGGGUUGUACAACCUUGAACCGCGUUUGCGAUGGCGUCAACGACUGUGCCGAUAACUCAGAUGAGUAUAAUUGCGGAUCAUCCACCCCGGCAGUUACACAGAAACCGGGCCACUGCACCGCGUGUGACGCCCAUCACUUGACCUGUUCGAGGUACUGUAAGUGUGUACUUUGGAUGAAUACCUGUGACCAGAUCAGUGACUGUUUGGACAACUCAGAUGAGAUGCUGCCCAGUUGUCAGAAUCGUCUAGUCAAUACUGGAUAUAUCCAAGACAUUGACAGCGACAGUGACAGUAUAUCUAUGAGAUGGAAUCAUUUGUUCGCGGUCCAAGUGUCCUACACGGUCUCGUUUAUCGAGGCAAAUAAUGAGGGGUCGUAUCAGAACAAGAGUGUUGGGAACGCCACCAAGUUUACAAUAUCCAACCUACGACCUCUGACAUCAUAUCGUAUAAGGGUAUACGCCAAAGAGAAUGGUGGCCUGGAAUUCCCGUUCACCGCAAGGCGUGAUUACGAAACUAAAGAAGGAGUGCCCGACGCCCCUGUGAACUUUCAAGCAAGUUACAAUGGUCAAGAAAAUUACUUCAAGCUCCAGUGGAAGCCCCCUGGGAACAACAGUGGCGUCAUACGACACUACACACUGUACUACACCACCACUGGGUCAUCAAAACCUAUGAUUAAGAUUAUACCACUCGUCGCCUCCUACAGACUUUACAUUCCCACUGAGACAGCAGGCCUCACCUAUAAAUUCUGGAUUACAGCAUCUACAAAUACGGGGGAGGGAAAGAAUUCUAAGAAAGUGACUUUAACUUUGGACGAUGAACUGCUGGUGACUGGAGUUGAGAAUCUGACGUUGACACCUGGUCAGUACAGUGUGUCCCUGGCCUGGUCCAAGCCUAACAGUAAAGCUACGGUUACAGAAUAUCAAGUCAUGUACAACGAUGCACUGGGGACGGAACAAAUACUGAAAACUAACGCCACAACUCUGCAAGUGCCCCACCUGUGCCCUCACCAAAGAUACACGUUCCACGUAAAGGCCAUCAACGGCCACGGACCCAGUCCUCCUGUGUCGCACGCAACAUCUACAGCUCCAGGUUCAGUCCACUAUGUAACACCUACCGACCUUUCCUGUGACAACGUUAGCCCUGGGAACUACAAAAUCACAUGGAAAGCCCCCAAAACAGGUCCUGCAAAUGUGACCUAUAUCCUGUACUACGACUACUCAGCUAAAGACAUGCAGUUGAGCAACAUUGAGAGCCAAGCACACUCCGUAACAGUCAAAGGAAACACCUCGUAUAUGCUGACAUCACUCCGAGCCUGUGAGACUUACUUCUACAGAGUGGGACUCAAGUAUCCAGGCACAUGCAUGCCUGCUGACCAGACUUAUUUUACAACUGAAGCUGAUGACAAGGCACCCCCUAAGAACGUGGACUUCCGACUGGAUUACAGGACGAUGACUAGCGGGAAGUUGAUGUGGGAUCCACCGUGCCUGAACGUCAAUGAACCCGAUAACUACACUGUGUACAUCUUUGAGGUUAACACCAGCCUCUCAAAUGCCUUCCUGAUGCGGUCAACAUCAAUGAAUUUCACUGACCUAAAGCGUGGCGCCACCUACAAUUUGACUGUCCGUUCCAAUUUCUUAAAUGCCAGUAGUUCAGAGCCCUGCAUCUUCAAAAUCCCUGCCUUUGGGGCCCCUACAGUGUUCCGAGCCCUCAUAGAGAACAGUGGUAAAGUGAAACUGGUAUGGCAGGCACCCAAGGACGCUCCCUCGGACACACAAUUUGGGGGGUAUGACGUGUUCUACAGUCGACACCACCACAUAGAUGCUAACGGCAUUGUGGAUCACAGUCAAAAAGAAAAGUUUACAUUCCAUCAAACAACUACGGCUAUGUUCAUGGAGAUAGCCCUGGACGGCACUUACGAAUAUCUCUUCAAAGUACGCUAUGCCGCAGUCAACCACUACCCGGGCGAGUUUACAGAGCCGGUCGAGGUCGCAGCAUCAGGAGUGCUGAACCUCCCAGUCAAUCAGGCGUCUGUGGCCCUGUCUAAAAAGAACCUGAUCGGGAUAUUUGUUGUCGUGGCCGUCAUUGUUGUCGCCCUCGUUGUUGUUCUCGGUGUUUUCAUUGUACGCCAUCAUCGUCUACAGCGUAGCUUCCUGUCCUUCGCCAACAGCCACUACGACACACGGUCGGGAACAACCACCUUCUCCUCCGCCAAUGAGCUUGGUGAGGACGAAGACUCCCCGAUGAUUCAAGGCUUCUCCGAUGAUGAACCGCUGGUUGUGGCAUGAUCUGGUUGCUGAAUAGUCGAACCCUAGAACAAAUCCAAAUAUUGCUAUCAUCAGACGUUUCGUUUCUCGGGAGAUUAGGCUGGAUAUUUGUCUCCUCUACCGACGUCAAACGCGUCGAAAGAUUUUACCAUCAGUAGGACAUCAGUCACUUUUGUGGUUGCCAUUCGCAUUCAUUUGUUCUCGUUUACCAAAGUUUAUUUGCUUUACGACAAUUUAACACAAACAUUAUAGAACUUGAGAAAAAGUCAUUGAUAUUUGGCAAGGUUUUAUUUAGUCCUUUCCCGAACAUUUUCAGAUAUACAUAUAUCUGAAUUUUAUGAAUAAUUGGUUAUUUUAAUGCCAAGUUAUGCCGAAUUACUAGAGAAAAAAUAUUUUUGUGAGUGCGAAGUACUAUUCAAGUCUUUCAAUAUGUUUCUUAUAAUAUAAAUGGCAAAACUAGGCAAAAUUUUUGCACCAGAAGGCAUCUCUUCUGAAAUUUGCUCUGCAGAGUUCUCGGAAAAUGACCGUAAGAUGGGAAAGAGUUAUAAAAAAACCUUUGCAAAUGGUGUCACAUGGAAACUUCACAUUCUGUUGAUAUCUUUCUGAAAAUAUUCUUUUACUGUGGAAUAACUAAGUCUAGAUCUGACAUGUUAUACAGGAUAUUUGUUGUAUACAUUACAAAAUGUUUGCAAUUUGGGGAUCUUUGACAAGAGGAGUCGUGUCCUUGGACAGCUACAUGUGUAAAAUUGGAUAUUCUUGGACAGAUUCAUGUUGGGUGUUCUUGGUUCGAAUUGUCAUUCUGAGAUUAGCUAACGCCUGGUGCUGGUGCGCCAUGCCCAGUGCCUCAAGCAUAAUAUACAGUCCCUCUCUAACAGUCAGGAAUCUGUAGAAAGGAACCUUGUUAGUCAGGACAUAUCUGUUUACAGGAACCUGCCCUAUAGGAAUUUUUUAAAACGACCGCAAAACAUUGUUUGUUGGGGCUCAUGUUUCUUCAAAACAACUUUCAGUUAAGACUUUUUUCCGAUUUAUGGGGUCGAUGUUGCAUUAUAUUUUUUUCGGAAGUUGGCUUUAAAUCUGAAAAGUCAGAUCAACAAGGUUCCUGAAUGGGUGGAGAUAAAAGUGUUAAGGGUGUCCAUUAUUUAGAUUCCAGCAUCUCUUCAACGCGGAGGUUAUAUCUAUAGUUUGGAGUGUGACUGUGACACGAAAAACUGAUGUGAAUACAAAAAAUUAAUGGUCGAGAGUGAAAGAUAAAAUGUGAACUUUGUGAUAUUCUUAAAACGGUUCCUGAGUGUAAGAUUACGUACAUAUCACAACCUUUUCUCCUCCCUCGGGUCAAGGGUCAAACUUACUAUGAACUAGCGUGUUUUUGUUUUGGAGGACUAUUAUUUGAUAAUGUUUUACGUAAGUUGCCAAGGGGAGACAAUUCACUGAUUUAAUCAUUCAAAAGAAAUUUCCCAAGUUUUAUUCAAAACAUUAAAAUUGCAAGAAUACUUGAGCUGGAAGCUGCAUCAGAACUUACGUGACCAUGUGUUGCUUCUCACUGGUUAGCUUGUUGAUCUGAAAAUAUGGGUUGUCUCCCUUCUAUGGAUUGUCUUCCCGAAAUGGUUACGUCCUUAACGUGGGUUGUCUCCCCUUAGAUUAUUGUGGCGAUUUGAAUGUUGGAUCCCCUGGGAGUACAGAGAUUUGAAAUUGAUCUGUUUGUUUUAUUUUGUCAUUUUAAUUCUGUUGAUACAAUGAUCUUGAUCUGAAAUAUUAUGCUUUAUUAAUAUGUACUGAUGUUGGUAGAUGUUUUCGUUGAAGAAUAAUGGUGAGAAUUAUUUCUUUUGCCAUAGGAUCAGUUUCACGAAAUUGAAGAUUAUCAUUAUGUUCCUUUAGUGAUUUUUGCGAUUUAUUUAUCAUGGAUCAUAUCACCUGUCUGUUUGUUUAUAUUUACCUUUUGUGCAUUUGUUUAUAUUUACUGUUUAUAUUUACUCUAUGUAUGUCUCUUCUGAGAGAUGGUAUAUGAUAGAUCUUUGUUUUUUUGUUUAUUGUCCACACGAAACUAUAGUCACACUUCGUUCUAUUAACAUGAAAAACCUGAAUCUCAAAACAGGAAGAGAUCUGGAUGACGGUCGUGUGGCAUGCUCAAAGGAUCACAAGUAAAUUAUUCUUUAUUUGGCUGACUAGUUUCCCUUCCAAAGUUGAGGCUAUGUGGGGAUAAUUUUUCAAUUAUUUAGACACCUUAUAUAUUCUAUAAUGGGUUCCCAAGUGGUCAAAGUAUAUGACCGUCUAUAUUAAAUCACUAGCCCUCCACCACUGUGUCGCGGGUUCAAGGCCCACAAGGGAGCGGUCACCAGGUACUGUUUGCAGGUCGGUGGAUUUUCUCUGAGCACUCCGGCUUCCCUCCACCACCAAAACCUGACACGUCUUUAAAUGACCGUAGCUGUUAAUGGGACGUUGACACGAAAAUUACUGCGAUGGAGAGUCUUGAAUGUGGUCUCACACAGCUUCGACUGUUUACCACCCUACAUAAUCUACAAAGUUUACUUAUCGCUUGCUAAGGCGCUUUAACUUUAUACAAGAAGAUGUGACUGUAGUUUUAGUCUGGAAUCAUCAAAUGUUUGAGCUGGGUUAAUUUUUUUUUCUUACUGUGUUGUAUUUUGUAACUUUUUAUGGUGAAAAAAAAAUAAAUGUGCCAUUUAAGGAACCAUUAAGAAACCUCCACUGGUGUCUUCCGUAUUAGAUACUGUAUACGGGAAAAUCUUUGCUGCAGCUUAAUUUUCACCAUUUUCGCGUAAUGAGGGCGAAUAAAUUGUUAGAGAGAAAAUCUGUUCACAAAUUUAAAGAAUUUGCAAUGAAUAGUAAACAUAUUUAAUCAUUGCAAACAGUGAAAUUUUGUUCAACAUAGUGGAAAUAUAUUUUUUGUCAACGAAAACACUUGUCGUUUUUAACUGGUGAUAAUUUUUGUUUACGAAGGAGUUUUUGAAAUGGUUCGUUUGGAAUUUAGGGGAAAUUUGGUAUCCAUUGACUUCCCUUAUCAUGAACCUAAAGGUUUUACACGACCGGUAUAUUGAUCGCCAGUAUUGGGGUGGGCUUAUUCAUGAACACCAAUUUAUCACAGAUGUGGUACAGUAAUGACUAAUCUGAUAAGUGCUUUGCCAUGUUAAAGUCCGGGGAAACAACUGAAGUCAAUGUCUGGUAUGACCUAUACCUAGCAGAUCCUUAGCUUUCCCCGUAUAUAUCUUUAAUUACAUUUUCCAAAAAUGAGAAAUUACUGGGUUUAAUUAUGACUUAUUUUUAUAUAUUGUUGGAAUGGUAUAUAUAAUUAAUAUUGACGAAAUGGUACGAUUUUGAUGGUAAGGUGUUGCCAUGUGAAGGUGCAAUUCCGACAGUACAAGUCACGAUGGAAUUUCUGGUCUCUGAACACGUCUGUUUAGAUAGGGCUAUUUUUGCCUCAGAGAGUGUCUGUAUUUAAUGAAAUGUGACUUUGGGGUAUCUGUGUUUUAGGGGAGGCAUGGCCUGUCGUUAUUAGAGUUUUAAACAAGACCUUACAUAGUAGGCCACUUAGGUAUGGAUGGGUGGGAGAGGUACGUACAUACUGUAGUCUAAAGAUCGUGGGCGUGACUGUUCUAUGAACGAGGCACAGUCAACCGUAACAUAAUGGGUGUGGCUGUCCGUUAAGUGAUUUGGCCUGCAGACAUGGCCUAAUGUUGUCGGCAUUGGCUGUGAAAUUGAUGCGGAGGGCGCAGCCUGCUGAUGUUAGGCUUGUCUGUGAAAAAGGCAUAGUCUGUUGACAUCAGGUUACACUUUUGAAGAUGUAAGUGAAGAAAGGUCUGAGGGGCGUGGCCUGCUGACGUUAGGCUUGUCUGUGAAAUAGGCAUGGUUUAUUGACAUUAGGCAAGUGUGUAUGAUUGGAGAGGCGUGGCCCGAUGUUGUGGGCGUUGGCUGUUUUAAUUGAUGUGAGGGGCGUGGCCUAAUGUUGUGGGCGUUGGCUGUUUGAUUGAUGUGAGGGGCGUGGCCUAGUGUUGUGGGCGUUGGCUGUGUAACUGAUGUGAGAGAGCGCUAUUAACCAGAGAACAGAGGACUCCAAAGAGGGAGAUCACAGAUCUGUCAUUGACAUAAAAGUUUAUUUUUCCUAUACAUGUCAUUUGUUUUUGUUUUUUGAAAAUCUUUGAUGGAAGCGAGUCUAUAUGUACAGGAUAUAAUGUUAUUGUGCAAAACAAAAUAAAAUCGCGUCAUCGUGUAAAAACUCAUCAUAAACACUCAUUUCCCUGUUUGCCUGUAACCUCAUGUGAUGCUAUAGGUCACUAUAUGAAAGCAAUAUUUCAAUAUAAAUAUUCAGUGGCUGAUAUUCAGAGAUUCAUCCUGAGAAGUUUUCCAUGUCUUAGAAAUUUUGAGAAAAUUUUGUGAAAAAUAUUUUUUUGAUUUUAGAAAAUUAACAUGUAGAAUUAAGGGGGCGGGUCUAUCCUAAACCCCAUCUAACACAAGCCCUAUGGAUCAGUCUCUGCUAUCAUAUUGUUUUACUUGCAAUUACUGCACAUACAACAUGUAUAUAUAUAAAUGUACCAAGAGAGAUACAAAUAUUUAUGAAAUUGUGUUUAACUCAUGCACCCCUACAUUUUCAAACUGGACUUGACCAGUCUUUGAUUUGGCAAGGUUCAAAUGUGACUUUUUGGGGUGAAUUGUGUUUAAUAAUUGCAUGUUUCAAUCACAGUGAUUGACUUUUACCGGUAUAUGUUUCUAUCCAUGCAUUGUUUAUUUGAUGGCUAGUAAAACUACAGGAUAAGUACAAUGUACUGAGCUGUUUUGACAAAAUUUGAACCCUGUCUGCAAAUAUCAUCAUUAUGAGAGAAUGAAAAGCAUCAUUAUAAACAGGUGGUCUUUAAAGCAAAGGUUUAGAUAUAGAAAAUACCAUUUUGGGGCCCAAAUUCAUGAAACCAUUCUCAUGCUCAAACUCAGAUUCUGUGUUCUUGUUACAGUGAUAAAUUGGUAAUAAAUCACAUUGUCCGUGAUUUGGAAUAAUUUUUGGAGAAACUUCAAGCAGAAUAUGGUUAUAAAGGUCGACUAUUUACUUUUUUAAAUGAUUUAAAUAACUUUUGACAAAAGUUUGUUUGAGCAAAGAUUCCAUGCUUGAGCUUAAGAACAAUUAUGAAUAUGGGCCCGUGUCUUCUUUAUACAGUAAUUGAGGUGGGCGUUCCUUACAUUAUAGACAGGUGGUCUUUAUAGAGAGAUAUUCUGUAUAGACAGAUGGUCUUUAGAGCAAGUUAUAAUGACAUGGAAAGCACAAUUUGGGGUAUUUUUGAUGAUUGAUCAUGUUAUUCAUGAAUUCAUUUAAUUUAUGGGGGGAAAAUGAUUAUAAUAAAUUCUGAAAAAUUACCAGCAACUAUCUGUAUACAGUAAGUAUAGGGUUGAUUUUGAAUAUUGUUUUGAAGUGUGAUCAUUAUCAGGAUAUGCGAGACAGAAGAAUUUCCAAUCAGCUUACAUUUGAAACUGUCUGGGUAUAAACAGUAUGGCUGAGACUGUUAAAUGGUACUGUACAUACAAUGUAUACUUAUAUUUGUGUUGACAAGCCAGCCUGGGGACUGUUGUCCUGAAGUCUGUACUCGGUACAAUCCGGUGACCUGCUGGUCUUACUUCCUUUAUUUUAACUUGUAUUCUGUACCUGACAUGAUUCAGCCUUGUAGCCUGUACUCUGUACAGUCUGAAGAUCCUUUGCUUUGCUGUCUAUCCAGUAAACUCCAUAGAUCAUCAGCCCACUUGAUCGCUGUACCCAGUAGAUUGUCAGCCCUGUUGUCUGUUCCCGGUACAGUCGGUUAAUCGUCAGCCCUGUUGUCUGUUCCCGGUACAGUCAGUAGAUCGGCAGCCCUGUUGUCUGUUCCCGGUACAGUCAGUAAAUCGUCAGCCCUGUUGUCUGUUCCCGGUACAGUCAGUUAAUUGUCAGCCCUGUUGUCUGUUCCCGGUACAGUCAGUAGAUCGUCAGCCCUGCCGUCUGUACCCGGUACACUGGUCCCAUCACCGAUGCUAGCCUAUCACUGUGUUUUUGCUAUUUCUGUAUGAUGUGUAGAUGCCUGUAAGAUAUACGGGCCAAAUAUUUGUACCAGUGCCACAUCCAAGUCCUCGACAUCUCCUGGGAUUUACCCCGCCACACUCGCACAAUAUAUAUUAACUCAUUCACCCCUUAAAAUUUCAUAAUGGACUUUUCCAACCCGUAAAUUGGAAGAGUUCAAAUGUGUCUUCAGGGGUGAAUGAGUUCAAGGGUUUUCUCCCUUUUUGGAUGAUUUCUUUUCUUUUUGAUAUUCACACCAUAUACUCAAUUAUAGUUCUUAUUGUUUACUCAGAAAUAAUAUAUUUAAAAAAAAUUACGGUGUGUAACUGUCCGCUUUUACAUCAAUGUCUGUAAGGCUUGUGUGUUGGGGGAAAUUAUUCAGCAGGUUUGGCAAGGACUAGCUGUUUAUUCAAGCAAUUUCUAGCCAGUCGUUGUUCCUAGCAUUGUUGGUGAGUGUAAGGAGCGACACAUCUGGGUAGAGAUUGGUGUUGAAGAUGUAUUUGGUUUAAUCCAGUCCACAAAGAGGCUGCCCCUCUGCUCCAGUUGCUGGACCUCUGUGCUCCAGCUGCUGGACCCAGAGUCAAUCGUGACGGUUGCCGUUCCGAUGUUGAAUUAUUUGUGGCAUUGGUUCUAUGCAAUAUGUUAUGUAAAACAUUCCAUUAAUAAAAUCGUGCUAAUUCCAUCAGAA